CCCCGGAAUGUACCAAAAAUAUCAGAAUCAUGAAAAAGUCCCUGUGGUACUGACUGAUUUGUUGGAAGAAAAGGAGCUAUAGAAGAAGCAGACUCUUCAAACAUCCCAUUUUCCAGGGGCAAGCUAUGAGCAGGUGGCAGGUUAACUUUAAGCAUGGCAUUCCCAAUAGGAAGCUCCAUUAGCUUACCAGGUACUGGGGCAGGCCACAUUGAAACAUAAGC
Molecule: unclassified non-coding RNA, 221 nt
Filed under: Hevea brasiliensis (rubber tree)
Lineage: Eukaryota; Viridiplantae; Streptophyta; Magnoliopsida; Malpighiales; Euphorbiaceae
Source: RNAcentral